Molecule: small nuclear RNA, 82 nt
Filed under: Heterocephalus glaber (naked mole-rat)
Lineage: Eukaryota; Metazoa; Chordata; Mammalia; Rodentia; Bathyergidae
Description: U4 spliceosomal RNA
Rfam family: U4 spliceosomal RNA
About the family: U4 small nuclear RNA (U4 snRNA) is a component of the major U2-dependent spliceosome. The structure of U4 snRNA from yeast and human has been reported. U4 snRNA presents a k-turn RNA motif in the 5p-SL related to recognition of Snu13 protein.
Source: Rfam by way of RNAcentral
AUCUUUGUGCAGUGGCAAUAUCAUACCCAAUGAGAUUUACCUGAGGUGCAAUUAUUGCUGAUUGAAAAAAAAAAGUAUUACA